Molecule: long non-coding RNA, 283 nt
Organism: Stylophora pistillata
Lineage: Eukaryota; Metazoa; Cnidaria; Anthozoa; Scleractinia; Pocilloporidae
Source: RefSeq, a predicted model, not a curated record
AAUGAGCACCUAAGUGAAUCACAGCUUUAUCCUGACAACUUUGCAAAGCGUGAAAUGAUGGAUCAAGCUGUCUUCUGUUGCAUGAAAAAGCAACGCGACUGUACAUGGAAGGGAAUUAAAGCUUGGCAAGCUACAGGAACAUCUGAAUGAAUGUGACUUUGUAGUUGAAAAGUGUCCCAAAAAGUGUGGAAAGGAAAUGGAGAGGAAGGACCUGAAAGAACAUCUGGAGAAAGAAUGUCCAAACAGAGCAACUCCUUGCAAACACUGCAAUAAAGACAUGAAG